CACGGCAGAGCAGAAGUUCUACUUCAGCGAGAUCAGGCCUGGGAAGAAACUGCGUUUCACAGGCUUUGUAAGACAUGUUACCGGUAGGCUUGUAAGAGCCAUGUGCAGAGCGAGUUGUUUCUAAGUUGCCCAAAGAGCUGGAAGCCGGACGCUGUGGGGACUGUCUGCCCUUGAGGACACAAGGCAGGACAUUGUCCCUUUCAGCUCUAGGCCCAUGUAGGACACGGCAGAGCAGAAGUUCUACUUCAGCCAGAUCAGGC
This 260-nucleotide long non-coding RNA is filed under the name Equus asinus (donkey). RNAcentral's name for it is "lncRNA (ENSEASG00005026003.1)". Lineage: Eukaryota; Metazoa; Chordata; Mammalia; Perissodactyla; Equidae. The record is from RNAcentral.